GUAACAAGGUCUCCGUUGGUGAACCAGCGGAGGGAUCAUUACUGAGUUUACGCUCUACAACCCUUUGUGAACAUACCUAUAACUGUUGCUUCGGCGGGUAGGGUCUCCGCGACCCUCCCGGCCUCCCGCCUCCGGGCGGGUCGGCGCCCGCCGGAGGAUAACCAAACUCUGAUUUAACGACGUUUCUUCUGAGUGGUACAAGCAAAUAAUCAAAACUUUUAACAACGGAUCUCUUGGUUCUGGCAUCGAUGAAGAACGCAGCGAAAUGCGAUAAGUAAUGUGAAUUGCAGAAUUCAGUGAAUCAUCGAAUCUUUGAACGCACAUUGCGCCCGCCAGCAUUCUGGCGGGCAUGCCUGUUCGAGCGUCAUUUCAACCCUCAAGCUCUGCUUGGUGUUGGGGCCCUACAGCUGAUGUAGGCCCUCAAAGGUAGUGGCGGACCCUCUCGGAGCCUCCUUUGCGUAGUAACUUUACGUCUCGCACUGGGAUCCGGAGGGACUCUUGCCGUAAAACCCCCAAUUUUCCAAAGGUUGACCUCGGAUCAGGUAGGAAUACCCGCUGAACUUAAGCAUAUCU
This is a ribosomal RNA of 573 nucleotides. The stretch from base 214 to 367 matches the Rfam family "5.8S ribosomal RNA".